This is a non-coding RNA of Camponotus floridanus (Florida carpenter ant), 72 nucleotides long. NCBI's taxonomy places the organism in Eukaryota, Metazoa, Arthropoda, Insecta, Hymenoptera, Formicidae. The record is from Rfam.
GGCUGAGUAGCUCAGUGGUAAGAGCAGUUGCCCGGCAAGCGAAAGACCCGGGCUCGAUUCCCGAUUCAGCGA